This 421-nucleotide ribosomal RNA is filed under the name uncultured bacterium. Its description in RNAcentral is "bacterial SSU rRNA". It matches the Rfam family "Bacterial small subunit ribosomal RNA", at positions 355 to 774 of the family's 1533-position model. The record is from RNAcentral.
UAAGGAAUAUUGGUCAAUGGACGCAAGUCUGAACCAGCCAUGCCGCGUGAAGGAUGAAGGUCCUCUGGAUUGUAAACUUCUUUUAUCUGGGACGAAAACGGGAUUUUUAUCUCAAUUGACGGUACCAGAGGAAUAAGCACCGGCUAACUCCGUGCCAGCAGCCGCGGUAAUACGGAGGGUGCAAGCGUUAUCCGGAUUCACUGGGUUUAAAGGGUGCGUAGGUGGGCAGAUAAGUCAGUGGUGAAAUCUUCCGGCUUAACCGGGAAACUGCCGUUGAUACUAUUUGUCUUGAAUAUUGCGGAGGUAAGCGGGAUAUGUCAUGUAGCGGUGAAAUGCUUAGAUAUGACAUAGAACACCAAUUGCGAAGGCAGCUUACUACACAAACAUUGACACUGAGGCACGAAAGCGUGGGUAGCGAACA